AAGCAAUUCUCCUGGCUCAGCCUCCCAAGUAGCUGGGAUUACAGUGUACCACACCAAGGAACUCCCACACUCUGAAUGAACAGCCCAGUGAUCAGGAGCUUUGAAUCAAUUCUUGGCACCUAACAGUUUGUGAAGAGUCUGCUAAACUCCCUCUAUCAGAAAUCCCAGAGGACUGAGAACAGGUCAUCCUUGGAGCUGUAUCUGAAUGGAGUCAGGAUCUGGAAGCCCAAGUCUCCUUGUCAAUGUCUGCUUGGUUCCCAAGGACACCUGUAAAUGGAAGAGGGGCAUAGUACACAGAAGACAUUGCUGGCAAGUGUGGUCUCUUUACGAUCAGGUGAGUCAUCUGCUGAAAUCUUUAUAAUAGACUUCUACCUUGAUGGAAUGGGUUGGACUAACGAGGAACCACCAUUACUCCAAGGCCCAGAGCAGAGCUGGGCCAUCAACUGUCUCCACACUUCCUGUCUUCUAGGUGCCACCCUGAUCCCUCAUUGCCUUUCAGCUGCAUGUCUAAAUCCCCACCCCACCCCUCAUCUAGUUGGCUUUGAUUCCAAGGACCUAGGACUGGAGUAGGGCUUUCACAAAUAAGACAGCAGGAAUGUAAUGCAACCUAAUGAGCAGACUAAGAAAGCAUCUAUACAGAAGAACAGACAUACAAAUACCAAGGCAGAUAAGAGUGACAAAAGACAAAAAAAAAAAAAAAAAAAA
This 705-nucleotide long non-coding RNA is filed under the name Homo sapiens (human). RNAcentral describes it as "HSALNT0394666". Lineage: Eukaryota; Metazoa; Chordata; Mammalia; Primates; Hominidae. The record is from RNAcentral.